GCAAAGGAUCUAGCGGAAAAUACGGUUCAGGGAGUGUGUGAAGCCUGGGCCAACGCAGAGAACGAAGAGAAGACGUGGAGGAAGGACAUGGACUUUUGGCCUCGUAUCCACGCCUGCACCAAAGCCCAGACACCAGGUCUAUGUGGCUGUGUCUAACCAGCAGAUUUCUGUCCAAAGUUACACAAAGCUGAUGUUGCUGAAACUUACAGGUUUCUAUGACCGGAGCCUCUUGUGCCAGUUGCUACCUAUACCUUGGCCUUGGCUCCCAUCUGCUCUUUGGCUAAAAUGCCUGGAUUUGUGCCCAGUUGUAGAUUUCUGUCUCCACCUACUUAAGACUUACGGUCUUGAAGGCAUCUUCAGAGCCAACUGCCACAACAUUUCAGGGGAACCAGACAUUGUGUGAAUUGUUUAAAGCGCAUAAUCUUGAAUAAUCACCACGACAAUCCUGUGAGCAAGACCUCAAGGUUGCAAAGGAUACAUCUGUGAGACUGCACCAUGAAUUGGAAAAUGUGGAAGAAAAGCGAACAACAAUGGAAGAUGAAAAUGAGAAACUGAGGCAACAGCUCAUAGAAGUUGAGAUAGCAAAGCAAGCAUUGCAGAAUGAACUGGAAAAAACGAAGGAGAUGAAGAAACUUGAAGCUGAAAGUUUGUCCAUGGUCUUCUUGGGGAUGCAAACUCAGGUCUACCUUCAGAAUUGUUGGAUAUUGCAAAGCAACUGGAAAGCUCUCUUUAGAAGACAACAAAUGUAGAAAGGCUGGUUUCAAGGUCCAACUCCGCUUUGCACAUACUCUCUGCCCAAAUCUGGGAGGUAAUUCUGUGUGGAGGCUGAGAGGACUGGUCUAGGCAAAGGAGGAUGGUGGCCUUCAUCAGAGGGGCAGCUGUGGAACUGAACACAUCUGACAUGCCUUCAGACACCAGGAUGAACAGUACAUUGACCCAUGCAUUCAGCAGCUAAAAUGUGCCAGGUGAGGAAAUGGACUCACUCGUGAUUGGUUUGAAUACGCCCUUGGAACAGAA
Molecule: long non-coding RNA, 1017 nt
Organism: Bos taurus (domestic cattle)
Lineage: Eukaryota; Metazoa; Chordata; Mammalia; Artiodactyla; Bovidae
Source: Ensembl